UGGGGAAUAUUGGACAAUGGGGGCAACCCUGAUCCAGCCAUGCCGCGUGAGUGAUGAAGGCCUUAGGGUUGUAAAGCUCUUUUAUCCGGGACGAUAAUGACGGUACCGGAGGAAUAAGCCCCGGCUAACUUCGUGCCAGCAGCCGCGGUAAUACGAAGGGGGCUAGCGUUGCUCGGAAUCACUGGGCGUAAAGGGCGCGUAGGCGGUCUUUUAAGUCGGGGGUGAAAGCCUGUGGCUCAACCACAGAAUUGCCUUCGAUACUGGGAGACUUGAGUUCGGAAGAGGUUGGUGGAACUGCGAGUGUAGAGGUGAAAUUCGUAGAUAUUCGCAAGAACACCGGUGGCGAAGGCGGCCAACUGGUCCGACACUGACGCUGAGGCGCGAAAGCGUGGGGAGCAAACAGG
RNAcentral lists this ribosomal RNA (404 nucleotides) under Actinomycetes bacterium. Its description in RNAcentral is "Actinobacteria bacterium partial 16S ribosomal RNA". It matches the Rfam family "Bacterial small subunit ribosomal RNA", at positions 355 to 776 of the family's 1533-position model. RNAcentral also lists the same sequence under 3 other names. The record is from RNAcentral. Lineage: Bacteria; Bacillati; Actinomycetota; Actinomycetes.